GCAAUAGCUCAGUUGAUAGAGCAUGAGCCCAUUAAUCUCAGGGUUGUGGGUCUGAGCCCCACAUUGAGCA
This 70-nucleotide transfer RNA is filed under the name Podarcis lilfordi (Lilford's wall lizard). RNAcentral's name for it is "tRNA.Asn". The record is from RNAcentral. Lineage: Eukaryota; Metazoa; Chordata; Lepidosauria; Squamata; Lacertidae.